RNAcentral lists this non-coding RNA (113 nucleotides) under human gut metagenome. RNAcentral describes it as "FMN riboswitch (RFN element)". It matches the Rfam family "FMN riboswitch aptamer (RFN element)". Rfam says of the family: The RFN element is a highly conserved domain that is found frequently in the 5'-untranslated regions of prokaryotic mRNAs that encode for flavin mononucleotide (FMN) biosynthesis and transport proteins. The record is from RNAcentral.
AUCUUUGGGGAUGGGUGAAAUUCCAUACCGGCGGUAUAGCCCGCGAACACAAGCUCUUGUGCCGAACAGGUGAGAUUCCUGUGCCGACGGUCAAAGUCCGGAUGGGAAAAGAU